This 410-nucleotide ribosomal RNA is filed under the name uncultured bacterium. RNAcentral describes it as "bacterial SSU rRNA". It matches the Rfam family "Bacterial small subunit ribosomal RNA", at positions 30 to 442 of the family's 1533-position model. The record is from RNAcentral.
AUUGAACGCUGGCGGCAUGCCUUACACAUGCAAGUCGAACGGUAACGGGCCUUCGGGUGCCGACGAGUGGCGAACGGGUGAGUAAUGCAUCGGAACGUACCUUUCAGUGGGGGAUAACGUAGCGAAAGUUACGCUAAUACCGCAUAUUCUGUGAGCAGGAAAGCAGGGGAUCGCAAGACCUUGCGCUGAUUGAGCGGCCGAUGUCAGAUUAGCUAGUUGGUGAGGUAAAGGCUCACCAAGGCGACGAUCUGUAGCGGGUCUGAGAGGAUGAUCCGCCACACUGGAACUGAGACACGGUCCAGACUCCUACGGGAGGCAGCAGUGGGGAAUUUUGGACAAUGGGGGCAACCCUGAUCCAGCCAUGCCGCGUGAGUGAAGAAGGCCUCGGGUUGUAAAGGCUCUUUCGGUCC